This 220-nucleotide unclassified non-coding RNA is filed under the name plant metagenome. RNAcentral describes it as "partial contains small subunit ribosomal RNA, internal transcribed spacer 1, and 5.8S ribosomal RNA". The record is from RNAcentral.
GUUCCGUAGGUGAACCUGCGGAAGGAUCAUUACAGAGUUCAUGCCCUCACGGGUAGAUCUCCCACCCUUGAAUAUUUAUACCUUAGUUGCUUUGGCAGGCCGUGGAAACACCAUGGGCUCCGGCUUAUGCGUGCCUGCCAGAGGAAACAAACUCUGUUUUUAGUGAUGUCUGAGUACUAUAUAAUAGUUGAAACUUUCAACAACGGAUCUCUUGGUUCUG